UACGUAGGGGGCAAGCGUUGUCCGGAAUCAUUGGGCGUAAAGCGCGUGUAGGCGGUUCGGUAAGUCUGCUGUGAAAGUCCAGGGCUCAACCCUGGGAUGCCGGUGGAUACUGUCGGACUAGAGUACGGAAGAGGCGAGUGGAAUUCCCGGUGUAGCGGUGAAAUUCGUAGAGAUCAGGUGGAACACCGGAGGCGAAGGCGCCUGCCUGGCAGUGUAUUGACGCUGAGGUGCGAAAGUGCGGGGAGCAAACAGG
This 253-nucleotide ribosomal RNA is filed under the name uncultured bacterium. Its description in RNAcentral is "partial 16S ribosomal RNA". It matches the Rfam family "Bacterial small subunit ribosomal RNA", at positions 524 to 776 of the family's 1533-position model. The record is from RNAcentral.